UUCUGAGCUGAGGACAG
RNAcentral lists this microRNA (17 nucleotides) under Homo sapiens (human). Its description in RNAcentral is "hsa-miR-4303". Lineage: Eukaryota; Metazoa; Chordata; Mammalia; Primates; Hominidae. The record is from miRBase by way of RNAcentral.